RNAcentral lists this transfer RNA (85 nucleotides) under Datura stramonium (jimsonweed). Its description in RNAcentral is "tRNA-Ile". It matches the Rfam family "tRNA". From Rfam's summary of the family: Transfer RNA (tRNA) molecules are approximately 80 nucleotides in length. Lineage: Eukaryota; Viridiplantae; Streptophyta; Magnoliopsida; Solanales; Solanaceae. The record is from RNAcentral.
GGGUCGAUGCCCGAGCGGUUAAUGGGGACGGACCUAUAAAUUCGUUGGCAAUAUGUCUACGCUGGUUCAAAUCCAGCUCGGCCCA